CCUACGGGGGGCAGCAGUAGGGAAUCUUCGGCAAUGGACGGAAGUCUGACCGAGCAACGCCGCGUGAGUGAAGAAGGUUUUCGGAUCGUAAAGCUCUGUUGUAAGAGAAGAACGAGUGUGAGAGUGGAAAGUUUACACUGUGACGGUAUCUUACCAGAAAGGGACGGCUAACUACGUGCCAGCAGCCGCGGUAAUACGUAGGUCCCGAGCGUGGUCCGGAUUUAGUGGGCGUAAAGCGAUGGCGGGGGGUUAGAUAAGUCUGAAGUUAAAGGCUGGGGCUUAACCAUAGUACGCUUUGGAAACUGUUUGACUUGAGUGCAGGAGGGGAGAGUGGAAUUCCAUGUGUAGCGGUGAAAUGCGUAGAUAUAUGGAGGAACACCGGUGGCGAAGGCGGCUCUCUGGCUUGUAACUGACGCUGAGGCUCGAAAGCGUGGGGAGCAAACAGGAUUAGAUACCCCUGUAGUC
Molecule: ribosomal RNA, 465 nt
Filed under: uncultured bacterium
Lineage: Bacteria
Description: partial 16S ribosomal RNA
Rfam family: Bacterial small subunit ribosomal RNA
Source: RNAcentral